UGAACAUGGGACAAAGCCUUACAAGCUGCUC
This 31-nucleotide non-coding RNA is filed under the name Homo sapiens (human). Lineage: Eukaryota; Metazoa; Chordata; Mammalia; Primates; Hominidae. The record is from RNAcentral.